Molecule: long non-coding RNA, 448 nt
Filed under: Androctonus crassicauda
Lineage: Eukaryota; Metazoa; Arthropoda; Arachnida; Scorpiones; Buthidae
Source: RNAcentral
AAUAUACUGUUCUGUUUCGUUCGAGAGAGUGUGAGACGAGCCCAUCCAAAUACCUGAGAGAUAAUACAAGAAACUACAUAAUUUCCAAAGAUAUUAAGGUCUAAAUAGUCAAAAGUCCAAAAAGUCUAAAACGUCAGUCUUUCGCCCUCAUUGUACAUCAUCGGCGUUGUUGUUCGUACUUCAUUGUCGCCAUUGUUCCUCGUCGUCCAUCGUCUCCGUCCUCGUCAGCCGUCCAUUGGCGCCCCGAUGGGACGAGCUGCUUUCUGUUAUGGAGACUCUUCUGCUGUGUGUGUCUCUCUGUCUGUCUAUCUGUGUAUCUAUAUGCUCCCUCUGUGUGUGAUGCUCUGCUCCUCUUUUCGUCAUCUCCUUUCCCAUAUAUCUCACUCCGAUGUUUCAGUGUUUACUUCCACUCUCACAGUUUGGUUGUUUAUCUUCAGCGGAUUCCCAC